AGGAAUAUUGGUCAAUGGGCGCGAGCCUGAACCAGCCAAGUAGCGUGAAGGAUGAAGGUCCUACGGAUUGUAAACUUCUUUUAUAAGGGAAUAAAGUCACCCACGUGUGGGUGUUUGUAUGUACCUUAUGAAUAAGCAUCGGCUAACUCCGUGCCAGCAGCCGCGGUAAUACGGAGGAUGCGAGCGUUAUCCGGAUUUAUUGGGUUUAAAGGGAGCGUAGACGGGUCGUUAAGUCAGCUGUGAAAGUUUGGGGCUCAACCUUAAAAUUGCAGUUGAUACUGGCGUCCUUGAGUACGGUUGAGGCAGGCGGAAUUCGUGGUGUAGCGGUGAAAUGCUUAGAUAUCACGAAGAACCCCGAUUGCGAAGGCAGCCUGCUAAACCGCCACUGACGUUGAGGCUCGAAAGUGUGGGUAUCAAACAGGAUUAGAUACCCUGGUAGUCCACACGGUAAACGAUGGAUACUCGCUGUUGGCGAUAGACUGUCAGCGGCUUAGCGAAAGCGUUAAGUAUCCCACCUGGGGAGUACGCCGGCAACGGUGAAACUCAAAGGAAUUGACGGGGGCCCGCACAAGCGGAGGAACAUGUGGUUUAAUUCGAUGAUACGCGAGGAACCUUACCCGGGCUUAAAUUGCAGAUGAAUUACGGUGAAAGCCGUAAGCCGCAAGGCAUCUGUGAAGGUGCUGCAUGGUUGUCGUCAGCUCGUGCCGUGAGGUGUCGGCUUAAGUGCCAUAACGAGCGCAACCCUUGUUGUCAGUUACUAACAGGUUCCGCUGAGGACUCUGACAAGACUGCCAUCGUAAGAUGUGAGGAAGGUGGGGAUGACGUCAAAUCAGCACGGCCCUUACGUCCGGGGCUACACACGUGUUACAAUGGGGGGUACAGCAGGCAGCUACCGGGCGACCGGAUGCCAAUCCCGAAAGCCUCUCUCAGUUCGGACUGGAGUCUGCAACCCGACUCCACGAAGCUGGAUUCGCUAGUAAUCGCGCAUCAGCCACGGCGCGGUGAAUACGUUCCCG
This 1016-nucleotide ribosomal RNA is filed under the name uncultured bacterium. RNAcentral describes it as "bacterial SSU rRNA". It matches the Rfam family "Bacterial small subunit ribosomal RNA", at positions 357 to 1376 of the family's 1533-position model. The record is from RNAcentral.